AAAGUUGAACGGCUUGUCGCGUGUAUUCACAGGCCUGUUAAGGGUUUGUGUGGUGCAGGAGGAAAGUCCGGGCAGCAUAGGGCAUUCCGCUUCUUAAUGGGAAGUCGUCCGUGAGGGUGAAUUAGUGCAGAAGAAAAUAACCGCUUGUCUGCCGAAUUAAGCGUUUCUCCUUUUAGGUUUGAAACCUUACAUUCGUUGUAGUUAUGAGUAAGGGUGAGAAGGUGAGGUAAGAGCUCACCAGUCGUGUGGUGACACACGGGCUGUGUACAUCGGAAGCUGAAAGUUCAUGUAUACCAACGUCAGAGGGCUGCUCGUCCGAGUUCCCGAUUUUAAUCGAGUGAGCACGUUGGAGGGUAGAACGAUAGAGCGUAUUGGCAACAAUGCGCGCGGAUAAAUGACAGGCACGACUUUUAGUCGUACAGAACCCGGCUUAUAGUUUGGCUUUUUCU
Prevotella sp. CAG:891 is the source of this 449-nucleotide non-coding RNA. It matches the Rfam family "Bacterial RNase P class A". Rfam says of the family: Ribonuclease P (RNase P) is a ubiquitous endoribonuclease, found in archaea, bacteria and eukarya as well as chloroplasts and mitochondria. Its best characterised activity is the generation of mature 5'-ends of tRNAs by cleaving the 5'-leader elements of precursor-tRNAs. Lineage: Bacteria; Pseudomonadati; Bacteroidota; Bacteroidia; Bacteroidales; Prevotellaceae. The record is from Rfam.